RNAcentral lists this ribosomal RNA (253 nucleotides) under uncultured bacterium. Its description in RNAcentral is "partial 16S ribosomal RNA". It matches the Rfam family "Bacterial small subunit ribosomal RNA", at positions 524 to 776 of the family's 1533-position model. The record is from RNAcentral.
UACGAAGGGUGCUAGCGUUGUUCGGAAUCACUGGGCGUAAAGCGCACGUAGGCGGAUGUGUCAGUCAGGGGUGAAAUCCCGGAGCUCAACUUCGGAACUGCCUUUGAUACAGCACAUCUGGAGUCCGGAAGAGGUGGGUGGAAUUCCUAGUGUAGAGGUGAAAUUCGUAGAUAUUAGGAAGAACACCGGUGGCGAAGGCGGCCCACUGGUCCGGUACUGACGCUGAGGUGCGAAAGCGUGGGGAGCAAACAGG